GUAAUUCUAUGGCUAAUACAUGCGCACAUGCCUCUUCCCUCGUGGAAGGGUAGUGUUUAUUAGAUACAGAACCAACCCACCUUCGGGUGGUCCUCAGGUGAUUCAUAGUAACCGAACGGAUCGCAUUAUGGCCUUUUGGUCGGCGAUGGAUCAUUCAAGUUUCUGACCUAUCAGCUUUCGACGGUACUGUAUUGGACUACCGUGGCAGUGACGGGUAACGGGGAAUUAGGGUUCGAUUCCGGAGAGGGAGCCUGAGAAACGGCUACCACAUCUAAGGAAGGCAGCAGGCGCGCAAAUUACCCAAUCCUGACUCAGGGAGGUAGUGACAAGAAAUAACAACACUGGAAAUUAUAUUUCUAGUGAUUGGAAUGAUGGGAAUCCAAACCCCUUUCAGAGUAACAAUUGGAGGGCAAGUCUGGUGCCAGCAGCCGCGGUAAUUCCAGCUCCAAUAGCGUAUAUUAAAGUUGUUGCAGUUAAAAAGCUCGUAGUUGGAUAUCUGCUGGAAGCAGCCAGUCCGCCCUUUGUGGGUGUGCACUUGGUGAAUUCUGGCAUCCUCCUGAUUGGUGUUAUCAUCACUUCAUUGUGUUGAUGGCAGCUGUCAGGACCGUUACUUUGAGAAAAUUAGAGUGUUUCAAGCAGGCUUGUUGCCUUGAAUACUGCAGCAUGGAAUAACAAGAUAGGAUUUCGGUUCUAUUUUGUUGGUUUCUAGGACUGAAGUAAUGAUUAAUAGGGACAGUUGGGGGCAUUCGUAUUUAACUGUCAGAGGUGAAAUUCUUAGAUUUGUUAAAGACGAACUACUGCGAAAGCAAUUUUG
Molecule: ribosomal RNA, 814 nt
Filed under: Sarcocystis sp.
Lineage: Eukaryota; Apicomplexa; Conoidasida; Eucoccidiorida; Sarcocystidae
Description: SSU rRNA
Rfam family: Eukaryotic small subunit ribosomal RNA
Source: RNAcentral